RNAcentral lists this ribosomal RNA (429 nucleotides) under Gemmatimonadota bacterium. RNAcentral describes it as "Gemmatimonadetes bacterium partial 16S ribosomal RNA". It matches the Rfam family "Bacterial small subunit ribosomal RNA", at positions 355 to 776 of the family's 1533-position model. The record is from RNAcentral. Lineage: Bacteria; Pseudomonadati; Gemmatimonadota.
UAGGGAAUCUUCGGCAAUGGACGAAAGUCCGACCGAGCAACGCCGCGUGAGUGAAGAAGGUUUUCGGAUCGUAAAACUCUGUUGUUAGAGAAGAACAAGGACGUUAGUAACUGAACGUCCCCUGACGGUAUCUAACCAGAAAGCCACGGCUAACUACGUGCCAGCAGCCGCGGUAAUACGUAGGUGGCAAGCGUUGUCCGGAUUUAUUGGGCGUAAAGCGAGCGCAGGCGGUUUCUUAAGUCUGAUGUGAAAGCCCCCGGCUCAACCGGGGAGGGUCAUUGGAAACUGGGAGACUUGAGUGCAGAAGAGGAGAGUGGAAUUCCAUGUGUAGCGGUGAAAUGCGUAGAUAUAUGGAGGAACACCAGUGGCGAAGGCGGCUCUCUGGUCUGUAACUGACGCUGGGGCUCGAAAGCGUGGGGAGCAAACAGG